GUCGACGGCAGCACGGGAGCAAUCCUGGUGGCGAGUGGCGAACGGGUGAGUAAUGUAUCGGAACGUACCUUUCAGUGGGGGAUAACGUAGCGAAAGUUACGCUAAUACCGCAUAUUCUGUGAGCAGGAAAGCAGGGGAUCGCAAGACCUUGCGCUGAUUGAGCGGCCGAUAUCAGAUUAGCUAGUUGGUGAGGUAAAGGCUCACCAAGGCGACGAUCUGUAGCGGGUCUGAGAGGAUGAUCCGCCACACUGGAACUGAGACACGGUCCAGACUCCUACGGGAGGCAGCAGUGGGGAAUUUUGGACAAUGGGCGCAAGCCUGAUCCAGCCAUGCCGCGUGAGUGAAGAAGGCCUUCGGGUUGUAAAGCUCUUUCAGCCGGGAAGAAAACGCAUGGGUUAAUACCCUGUGUGGAUGACGGUACCGGAAUAAGAAGCACCGGCUAACUACGUGCCAGCAGCCGCGGUAAUACGUAGGGUGCGAGCGUUAAUCGGAAUUACUGGGCGUAUAGCGUGCGCAGGCGGUUUGUUAAGAUAGGCGUGAAAUCCCCGGGCUCAACCUGGGAACUGCGUUUAUGACUGGCAGGCUAGAGUAUGGCAGAGGGGGGUGGAAUUCCACGUGUAGCAGUGAAAUGCGUAGAGAUGUGGAGGAACACCGAUGGCGAAGGCAGCCCCCUGGGCCAAUACUGACGCUCAUGCACGAAAGCGUGGGUAGCAAACAGGAUUAGAUACCCUGGUAGUCCACGCCCUAAACGAUGUCAACUAGGUGUUGGGUGGGUAAAACCAUUU
RNAcentral lists this ribosomal RNA (785 nucleotides) under uncultured bacterium. RNAcentral describes it as "bacterial SSU rRNA". It matches the Rfam family "Bacterial small subunit ribosomal RNA", at positions 61 to 841 of the family's 1533-position model. The record is from RNAcentral.